ACGCUCGACACCUACGGGAGACAGCAGUGAGGAAUAUUGGUCAAUGGGCGCUAGCCUGAACCAGCCAAGUAGCGUGAAGGAUGAAGGCUCUAUGGGUCGUAAACUUCUUUUAUAUAAGAAUAAAGUGCAGUAUGUAUACUGUUUUGUAUGUAUUAUAUGAAUAAGGAUCGGCUAACUCCGUACACGCAGCCGGCCGGUAAGUACUGAGCGGGCGUGGCAAGGC
Molecule: ribosomal RNA, 223 nt
Filed under: uncultured bacterium
Lineage: Bacteria
Description: partial 16S ribosomal RNA
Rfam family: Bacterial small subunit ribosomal RNA
Source: RNAcentral